AUUGAACGCUGGCGGCAUGCCUUACACAUGCGAGUCGAACGGCAGCACGGGUGCUUGCACCUGGUGGCGAGUGGCGAACGGGUGAGUAAUACAUCGGAACAAGUCCUGUAGUGGGGGAUAGCCCGGCGAAAGCCGGAUUAAUACCGCAUACGAUCUACGGAUGAAAGCGGGGGACCUUCGGGCCUCGCGCUAUAGGGUUGGCCGAUGGCUGAUUAGCUAGUUGGUGGGGUAAAGGCCUACCAAGGCGACGAUCAGUAGCUGGUCUGAGAGGACGACCAGCCACACUGGGACUGAGACACGGCCCAGGCUCCUACGGGAGGCAGCAGUGGGGAAUUUUGGACAAUGGGCGAAAGCCUGAUCCAGCAAUGCCGCGUGUGUGAAGAAGGCCUUCGGGUUGUAAAGCACUUUUGUCCGGAAAGAAAUCCUUGGCCCUAAGACGGUCGGGGGAUGACGGUACCGGAAGAAUAAGCACCGGCUAACUACGU
RNAcentral lists this ribosomal RNA (485 nucleotides) under uncultured bacterium. RNAcentral describes it as "partial 16S ribosomal RNA". It matches the Rfam family "Bacterial small subunit ribosomal RNA", at positions 29 to 506 of the family's 1533-position model. The record is from RNAcentral.